AUUUACUCCGUUUCUGCUUUUCUUGACUCAUCGACGGAAAUGUUAUCAGCGUACGUUGCAGCAUAUAUUGUAUGUGCGGGACACGUAUUCGACUGAAGGUCUCGGUGAAUGAAUUUGGAUGCAGAGUGUUUUGUGAUACUUGCCGCCGUGCUUACCUCUGUAAAUUUGAGGGUGGAAGCGACCGAGCCAUCCCGUACCUGACGCCGGCGUUUAUGAAAUUGCGAAUCAUGUUUGGAGUUGCAGCUGUCCCAAAAUAAACGCAGUAUCGUGCGCCUUCGAACACCUCAAAGUCGAAGCACGUUGCAUUGAUUGCAGGAAAAUUUCCAGGAACCAGCCUAUCGGGCCAGUGCCAGUACCAAUACCAGAACCGCCACUGGUUCAGGGGGCACAAAGCUUUUGUCCAAUCCUAGGAAGAAUGCACCAGAUUAGAGUCUCAGCAGGGAACGUGGGUGUAAAGUUUCGAUGUAGCCAUUGCGGUAUCAAACAGAUUUUUGCCUUCAAAGAGCAGCAGCAGCCCCUGCCCCAGCUGGGUAAUUGAACUAGAGCUUUUGUUAGUUUUUUUUUUAUUGAGAAAGAGCUUUGGCAGUUAUGUCUAGAACUUUAAAUUACUAGAAGUUAAACUGCAAUUAAAUACUAUAUUACAUUGGACAAGUCAAGUUAUAAUAUAUAUAUAUAUAUAUAUAUAUAUAUAAAGAUUGUUAAUCCUUUGAUAUAUUUGGCAAAUAUAUAGCAAAAGAGUGUUAAUCUUUUGAUAUGUUUGGCUUGAGGACUAGUAGCCGUGUGGGCUCUCUAGAAGUUGACCUGUUCUCAGGUGCCCUGCUAUGCUUGUGAUUUCUAU
Molecule: long non-coding RNA, 838 nt
Organism: Cornus florida
Lineage: Eukaryota; Viridiplantae; Streptophyta; Magnoliopsida; Cornales; Cornaceae
Exons: 3
Source: RefSeq, a predicted model, not a curated record